This 85-nucleotide transfer RNA is filed under the name Felis catus (domestic cat). It matches the Rfam family "tRNA". Rfam says of the family: Transfer RNA (tRNA) molecules are approximately 80 nucleotides in length. Lineage: Eukaryota; Metazoa; Chordata; Mammalia; Carnivora; Felidae. The record is from Rfam by way of RNAcentral.
GCCUGAGUGGCUCAGUCGGUUGAGCGUCCGACUUCGGCUCAGGUCAAGAUCUCAUGAUUCGUGGGUUCGAGCUCCACAUCAGGCU